GACGAGCGCUGGCGGCGUGCCUAAUACAUGCAAGUUGAGCGAUGAAGAUUGGUGCUUGCACCAAUUUGAAGAGCAGCGAACGGGUGAGUAACGCGUGGGGAAUCUGCCUUUGAGCGGGGGACAACAUUUGGAAACGAAUGCUAAUACCGCAUAAUAACUUUAAACAUAAGUUUUAAGUUUGAAAGAUGCAAUUGCAUCACUCAAAGAUGAUCCCGCGUUGUAUUAGCUAGUUGGUGAGGUAAAGGCUCACCAAGGCGAUGAUACAUAGCCGACCUGAGAGGGUGAUCGGCCACAUUGGGACUGAGACACGGCCCAAACUCCUACGGGAGGCAGCAGUAGGGAAUCUUCGGCAAUGGACGAAAGUCUGACCGAGCAACGCCGCGUGAGUGAAGAAGGUUUUCGGAUCGUAAAACUCUGUUGGUAGAGAAGAACGUUGGUGAGAGUGGAAAGCUCAUCAAGUGACGGUAACUACCCAGAAAGGGACGGCUACUACGUG
RNAcentral lists this ribosomal RNA (496 nucleotides) under uncultured bacterium. Its description in RNAcentral is "partial 16S ribosomal RNA". It matches the Rfam family "Bacterial small subunit ribosomal RNA", at positions 28 to 507 of the family's 1533-position model. The record is from RNAcentral.